ACGAACGCUGGCGGCGUGCUUAACACAUGCAAGUCGAACGGAAAGGCCCUGCUUUUGUGGGGUGCUCGAGUGGCGAACGGGGGAGUAACACGUGAGUAACCUGCCCUUGACUUUGGGAUAACUUCAGGAAACAGGGGCGAAUACCGGAGAGGAGCUCCUGCUGCAUGGUGGGGGAUGGAAAGUUUCGGCGGUUGGGGAAGGACUCGCUCCGUAUCAGCUUGUUGGGGGGGUAGUGGCGUACACAGGCUAUGACGGGCAGCCGGCGUGGGAGGGUGACCGGGCACACUGGAAGUGAGACACGGUCCAGACUCCUACGGGCGGGAGCAGGAGGGACUCUCCGGCAAUGGGCGGAAGCCUGACGGAGCAACGCCGCGCGAGUGAUGAAGGUCUUCGGAUCGGAAAACUCUGUUAUUAGGGAAGAACAUAUGUGUAAGUAACUGUGCAGAUCUUGACGGUAACUAAUCAGAAAGCCACGGCUAACUACGUG
RNAcentral lists this ribosomal RNA (487 nucleotides) under uncultured bacterium. RNAcentral describes it as "partial 16S ribosomal RNA". It matches the Rfam family "Bacterial small subunit ribosomal RNA", at positions 29 to 507 of the family's 1533-position model. The record is from RNAcentral.